GGGUAUGAGGGCAAUCUGGCUGCAACAUCUGUCACCCCAUUGAUCGCCAGGGUUGAUUCAACUGAUCUGGCUGGCUAGGCAGGUGUCCCCUUCCUCCCUCACCACUCCAUGUGCUUCCCUGGGUGCUCGGUUGAAGAGGACGACCAUCCCCAAAAGAGGAAGACAGUUCUUCGGUCAAGGGUGUAUGAGUAGCUGAGCUCCCCUGCUAGAACCCCCAAACAAACUCUCAGGUUCCAUGCAUUUGGCCCUUAUCCAACCACUCAACCUCUCCCCUUUUAGGAGUACUGUCCUUGUUUAG
This 298-nucleotide small nuclear RNA is filed under the name Dipodomys ordii (Ord's kangaroo rat). RNAcentral describes it as "7SK RNA". It matches the Rfam family "7SK RNA". From Rfam's summary of the family: 7SK was discovered as an abundant small nuclear RNA in the mid-70s but a possible function has only recently been suggested. Two independent studies have found that 7SK RNA binds the CDK9/cyclin T complex (known as elongation factor P-TEFb). P-TEFb activates transcription by phosphorylating the C-terminal domain of RNA polymerase II. Lineage: Eukaryota; Metazoa; Chordata; Mammalia; Rodentia; Heteromyidae. The record is from Rfam by way of RNAcentral.